GAUCGAGUUUGAUCCUGGCUCAGAAUGAACGCUGGCGGCAGGCUUAACACAUGCAAGUCGAGGGGUAUAGUUCUUCGGAGCUAGAGACCGGCGCACGGGUGCGUAACGCGUAUGCAAUCUACCUUUUACAGAGGGAUAGCCCAGAGAAAUUUGGAUUAAUACCUCAUAGUAUGUGAGAAUCGCAUGGUUUUCACAUUAAAGUCACAACGGUAAAAGAUGAGCAUGCGUCCCAUUAGCUUGUUGGUAAGGUAACGGCUUACCAAGGCAACGAUGGGUAGGGGUCCUGAGAGGGAGAUCCCCCGACACUGGUACUGAGACACGGACCAGACUCCUACGGGGAGGCAGCAGUGAGGAAUAUUGGACAAUGGGGCGCAAGCCUGAUCCCGGCCCAUGCCGCGUGCAGGAUGACGGUCCUAUGGAUUGUAAACUGCUUUGUACAGGAGAACACUCCCGUCGUGAGGAGCUUGACGGUACUGUAA
This 479-nucleotide ribosomal RNA is filed under the name uncultured Flavobacterium sp. Its description in RNAcentral is "bacterial SSU rRNA". It matches the Rfam family "Bacterial small subunit ribosomal RNA", at positions 1 to 484 of the family's 1533-position model. Lineage: Bacteria; Pseudomonadati; Bacteroidota; Flavobacteriia; Flavobacteriales; Flavobacteriaceae. The record is from RNAcentral.